UUUUUUUUUCUUCAUCCAUUUCUGCGGCAGUAUUUUCCGCCAUUGUCUUCCACCUCACUUAUUUGUUCUUCUGCCUUAGCUAUUUUACUAUUGAUUCUUCUAGAAUAUUUUGCAUUUCAGUUACUGUACUGUUGAUUGUUGUUCUUUAAAUCUUCUAGCUCUUUAUUAAACAUUUCUUGUAUCUUCUUGAUCUCUGUCUCCAUUAUUUUUUCUGAGAUCUUGGAUCAUCUUUACUGUAAUUACUCUGAAUUCUUUUUCAGGUACAUUGCCUAUCUCUAUUUAGUUGUUUUUGUUGGGUUUUAUAUUGUUCCUUCAUCAGAAACAUAUUUUUCUACCUUCUCAUUUUGUCUAAAUUUUGGUUUGGUGGUCUCCUUAUUGCAGGCUGCCAGAUCAUAGUCCCUCUUGCUUCUGGUGCCUGCCCCUUUGUUGGUGAGGGUGGCCCAGGGACAUGUGCAGACUUUGUGGUGGGAGGGAAUGGCACCUUCCACUGAUAGGUAGGUGCAGCUAAGUCUUGUCCCUCUGAUGGUCAGAGACUUGUCAAGGUGUUUAGAGGUGGCAACUUUAAGCAGCCUAUCUGGGUUUUAUAACUUUUGGUGUAAGGACUAUUUAUAAGAUGACUCCCUGCCACCUCUUUCCUCAGUGUAGGUUGGCUGUUGUCCCCUACCCAGUUAGGAGGAGAUCCUUCUUGUCCUUUCAGGUGUUUUGAGUUUUUCUGCCAGUAUUCAGUAGGUUUCCUAUAAGUAUUUAUCCAUUUGUAGAUGUAUUCCUGAUAUAUUUGUAGGAAGAGGUGAGCUCCAUGUCCUCCUCCUACUCUGCCAUUUUGUCCUCUCAUCAAAUAUUUAUUAAAGUUAAAAUGAUGUAAAGCCAAUGGUUAGAUAAGAAUGAUAUUUACAAAGCAGUUUCCUAUUGGCAUAUUUUUUUUUUUUGGAUAGGAGGUUCACUACUAUGGGAAGAGUUUUGUUAUUCUACUUUUUAUAAAUAAAGGGUUUAUUAAUAGGAUUUAUUUAUAAAGUCAUAAUUAGUGAUCAUAUCUUAUAGCUUGGAAGGUAGCAUUAAUAUAGGUUACAAAAACCCAAAAUAAUCAACACAUCCCACCCCUGACUUCACAAUUCAUAAUAUGGCCUAACAAAAAAAUGUUUCAUCACACUUUAUUAUUUGAAUUAAAUAUUUAAAAAUAUAUUCUUCCAAAUCAGAGUAAUAACAAACCUAUUACUCUGUAUACUAAAAACAGAAAAAAGUAAACAACCAUAUAUGUAUUUGGGUUCUUCAGAGAAACAUAACCAAGAGGUUGUGCACACACAAGUCCCAUGAUCUACAGGGUGAAGGGUCAAACUGGAGCCAAGGAAAGCCAAUAGUACAGUUGUAGUCUGAGUCCAAAAGCCUGGGAAUCAGGAGAGUCCAUGGUGUAUCUCUAGUCUAAAGGCUGUCAGAUUGGAGACCCAGGAAGAGCCAAUGCCCAAGUUCAAAAUGAGAAAAAAAGCAGUUUCAAAACAAAGGCAGUCAAGUAGAAAGAAUCCUUUCUUCCUCAGGAGAUAAUCAGUCUUUUUUUCUAUUCAAGCUUUUAGCUAAUUUGCUGAAGCCCACACAAAUGAACCCCAUUAGGGAAAGUGAGCUUAAUUUAGUCUACCAUUUUAAAUGUUAAUCCUCACAGAAACCUCCAGAAUAAGAUUUGAUCAAGUAUCUGGAUGCCCCAUGGCCCAGUCAAGUUCACACAUAAAAUUAACCAUUUCACUAUGCUUAUAUAAUGUGCUAUAAAAUACUGAAAAUCUGAGACAAUGGUUUAUAUUUGUAGAGAAGAGUAUAUGACAGACUGUGGGUGUCACUGUUGAAUAGGACUGACCUUCUAACUCUGGGCCGCCUCCUCCCAUCAGUUCUUUCUCUAUAUUGACAACACCACUACCACCAAUUCUUCAGGGCUUUGUUUGGCCAGCAUCCAUACAAUGCACAAAUCCUUAGUUAUCUGUAUGUUUGUGGUCAAAUUCUCUAGCCUAGUAGCUUCAUUUGAAGGGAGAUAACUAUAUUCCCUGAACUUUGCUCCAUAAUCUCUAAAGGAAGAUUCCCAUCUCACCUUUUGUUACUAUGGAGAUGUGAUGUGGAAAAUUCACACCUUUUGUUACUAUGGAGAUAUGAUAUGGAAAAUUCAUAACAAAAAAUAAUGAAUUUCUAUUCUACCCUUACUAGCACAUUGUUCAUGAGAAUGUUACUUGCCCAAGUUACUAAUAUAUCUAACCUUCAAUUUUCCCCUGUACAAAAAAUGGAAGAAGAUAAUCUAAUUUACAAAGUUAGCAUAUAGACUGAUGUACAUAAAGUACCUAGCACCGUGCCUAGUAUGUAGUAAAAUUGAUUGUGUAAAUAUAAAUAGUAGACUCUAGGGGGUCUCUUUAACCCUGUGUUUCUAUUGACAUAAUUUUCCUACUAACACAGAUCUGAAAAUAGUAAUAGUGACCCCACAAUAAUAUUUCAUCAUAAUUUCUGCAACCCCUCCCUUAGAGUUAUUUUUUUGUUUGUUUGUUUUAAUGAACCAAAUAAGGAGAAAAGAUUCUUUGUUGUUUUCCCUCUCUUUUAGGUGUAUGUGAACUCUCACAUAAUCUCAUUCAAUAUUACCAAUUGUUGUCAAACUCAGAAGAUAAUGGGUGAAAUUUCAAGUUAUAAUAAUAUAUCAGAUUAUAGGGAAUAAGGACAGGCUUUGGACAUAUUUCAAAUAUCUUGGCUUCUUGAGAAAGCAGAUACUAAAUCUGUCACUAGACUCAGAAUCAAGUAGUCAGCCUUUGGCCCUCUUCCAGUAUAUAAUGGAACAAAUUCCAGACCUCUCCAAGAGUAAUUCUUUUUGCAGUCCAGAGACAUAAGGCUGCUAUAGUUAGAUGUUAAUAAAAGAUCUAAAUGCAGUGGAGCAAAAGACAGGAGGAGAAAGUCUUGGUGAGUAAGCCAAAUGGGCCAGCUAUCUGUCGUCUGGCAGCUGUCAGGAAGAAAGAGCAAAGAAUAGAAUUAUAAAGCAUGGCUACAUUUGCAGAUUAAAGAAAAUAACUCAUUUUCAGAUAAUUUUAAGAAAAUCAGAGUUAUAUACAGCUAUAAAGUUAAAGCUAUAGAGAUUAAGUAUAUAUUAUGUAAAAACGAAAAAAUAGAAUUCAAGAAUUUGGUGAAAAUUCUCUCAAUCCAAAAUUGUUCUUCUGUAAUGAAAUUAUAACUUCCAUCAUUUAUUAUUUCCAUUAAAAUGGAAGUCUGGUCUGAUUAGCUCAACAUAGAAUUUAAAAUUUAAAUCUCUAAAUUGAAUCCUGAUAUUACAUGGUUAUUCAGGCCAGGUGUAUGUUAAAGUAGACAGUAGCAUGUAGAUAAUAAUAAACAUCAUUUCUUGAACUAAUUCCUCCAGGGUAAUUUUAUUGGUGACCACAUGGUUGAGGUAAUGGUUGGUUCUGGUCAAUUAAAUUAAGUAAAUGCAAUUCUUUUCUAAUUUGAACAAUUUCAUUCAGAAUUAAAGUUAAAAAUAUUUUUCUAUAUUAAGCUACUCCAUCAGGAAAUUAUGAAAAAUUAUCGACUGAAGUUGAAAAAUAAAUGUCAAUGAGAAAUCCCCAACUAUAUGUGUAGUAAUUUAGGAUAUGUUUAUUCAUUCCAUUCUCAUAAUCAGUUAUGUAGAAAUUCAUAUCUACCAAAGCACAGUUUUAAAGUAAAGAUCUGGGAAGUUUCUUGGCAUCAAACUAAUGGUUACAGGAUAAUAUCAAUGUCACUUCCACAAUGCUUAAAUAUUCGUAGGUGACUAAAAUUGAUAUGUACCAAUUCCAACAAGGUAGAUCAUUGUAGAAGUGACUCACACCUAGGACUCUAUACCAAAUAUUAAACCUAAAUCUCAACAAAAAGGAGUAAAACAAGAAUUUGACUAUGCAAAGUAUGAAGAAUAUGAAGAAAUUUGAUGUCAAAAAGGCAAACGAAAUUUCAUAAAUGGAAAACACAAACAUUUGUGCAAAAACACAAAUUGAAUUUAUAUUAAAUCUAGAUUUAAUAUACAUUAGUAAACAUUAAACAUAUAAACAAUAAAGAUGGGUAGCAAAGAAUAUUUUCUAUAGGCAUGACAUUAUAGAAAAUGACAGAGUAGGACAUUCAAAUAAAUGGCCCCUCCCCUGAAAGAAAGAUAUACUCACAAAGAUUCACUAAUUCAAUUUUUCUUUGGAAAUGUGGGAACUAAUCCAAAACUUUCAUCGACCAGAGGACUACUUACUAAAGAAAAGCGAUUGCUAUGGUAUAUCCACUCACAUACUAUCUCCUAUUCUCCAGUAGCCAGUGUCCCCAGUGUAGGUGGCUGGUUCAGAGGGCUAAUACUGAUCUUGUUCUUAAAAUACUGUGGUUGUGCUUUUUCAAUAUGAAUUUUAGUGUAUAUUUGACUUACAAAUUUGUUUUAGUUUCAGGUGAACAACAAAGUAAAUCAGAUUCUUUUCCCAUAGAGGUUGUUACACAGUAUUGAAUACAUUAUCCUGUGCUAUACGGUAGGUCCUUGGUACCUAUUUUAUCUAUAACAGUGUGUAUAUGUGAAUCCCAACCCCCUAAUUUAUCCUCCCCCACUCAUUUCCACUACAGUAACCAUAAAUUUGGCUUGAAAAUCUUCAAGUCUCUUUCUAUUUUGUAAGUUCUUUUGUGUCACUUUUAUUAGAUCCCAUAUAUUUCAUAUGUAUUUCUCUGACAAUUCAAUUCACUUAGUAUAAUUUCUAGAUCCACCUAUCCUGCUGCAAAUGGCAUUAUUUCAUUCUUUUUAUAGCUGAGUAAUAUUCCAUUGUGUAUAUGUACCACACCUUCUUCAUCCAAUCCUCUGUUGAUGGAAAUUUAGGUUGCUUCCCUGUCUUGGCUAUUGUAAAUAGCGCUGCAGUGAACAUUGGGGUACAUGGAUC
RNAcentral lists this long non-coding RNA (4874 nucleotides) under Sus scrofa (pig). Its description in RNAcentral is "lncRNA (ENSSSCG00030068420.1)". Lineage: Eukaryota; Metazoa; Chordata; Mammalia; Artiodactyla; Suidae. The record is from RNAcentral.